RNAcentral lists this ribosomal RNA (1347 nucleotides) under uncultured bacterium. Its description in RNAcentral is "partial 16S ribosomal RNA". It matches the Rfam family "Bacterial small subunit ribosomal RNA", at positions 28 to 1381 of the family's 1533-position model. The record is from RNAcentral.
GACGAACGCCGUCGGAGUGCUUAACACAUGCAAGUCGAACGGAAAGGCCCUGCUUUUGUGGGGUGCUCGAGUGGCGAACGGGUGAGUAACACGUGAGUAACCUGCCCUUGACUUUGGGAUAACUUCAGGAAACUGGGGCUAAUACCGGAUAGGAGCUCCUGCUGCAUGGUGGGGGUUGGAAAGUUUCGGCGGUUGGGGAUGGACUCGCGGCUUAUCAGCUUGUUGGUGGGGUAGUGGCUUACCAAGGCUUUGACGGGUAGCCGGCCUGAGAGGGUGACCGGCCACAUUGGGACUGAGAUACGGCCCAGACUCCUACGGGAGGCAGCAGUGGGGAAUAUUGCACAAUGGGCGGAAGCCUGAUGCAGCAACGCCGCGUGCGGGAUGACGGCCUUCGGGUUGUAAACCGCUUUCGCCUGUGACGAAGCGUGAGUGACGGUAAUGGGUAAAGAAGCACCGGCUAACUACGUGCCAGCAGCCGCGGUGAUACGUAGGGUGCGAGCGUUGUCCGGAUUUAUUGGGCGUAAAGGGCUCGUAGGUGGUUGAUCGCGUCGGAAGUGUAAUCUUGGGGCUUAACCCUGAGCGUGCUUUCGAUACGGGUUGACUUGAGGAAGGUAGGGGAGAAUGGAAUUCCUGGUGGAGCGGUGGAAUGCGCAGAUAUCAGGAGGAACACCAGUGGCGAAGGGCGGUUCUCUGGGCCUUUCCUGACGCUGAGAAGCGAAAGCGUGGGGAGCGAACAGGCUUAGAUACCCUGGUAGUCCACGCUGUAAACGGUGGGUACUAGGUGUGGGGUCCAUUCCACGGGUUCCGUGCCGUAGCUAACGCUUUAAGUACCCCGCCUGGGGAGUACGGCCGCAAGGCUAAAACUCAAAGGAAUUGACGGGGCCCCGCACAAGCGGCGGAGCAUGCGGAUUAAUUCGAUGCAACGCGCAGAACCUUACCUGGGUUUGACAUGGAUCGGGAGUGCUCAGAGAUGGGUGUGCCUCUUUUGGGGUCGGUUCACAGGUGGUGCAUGCCUGUCGUCAGCUCGUGUCGUGAGAUGUUGGGUUAAGUCCCGCAACGAGCGCAACCCUUGUUCACUGUUGCCAGCACGUUAUGGUGGGGACUCAGUGGAGACCGCCGGGGUCAACUCGGAGGAAGGUGGGGAUGACGUCAAGUCAUCAUGCCCCUUAUGUCCAGGGCUUCACGCAUGCUACAAUGGCUGGUACAGAGAGUGGCGAGCCUGUGAGGGUGAGCGAAUCUCGGGAAGCCGGUCUCAGUUCGGAUUGGGGUCUGCAACUCGACCUCAUGAAGUCGGAGUCGCUAGUAAUCGCAGAUCAGCAACGCUGCGGUGAAUACGUUCCCGGGGCU